This 1280-nucleotide unclassified non-coding RNA is filed under the name Zea mays. RNAcentral describes it as "misc RNA Zm00001eb413350". Lineage: Eukaryota; Viridiplantae; Streptophyta; Magnoliopsida; Poales; Poaceae. The record is from RNAcentral.
ACCCCACCUUCACAUCAAGCAGUACACCGUCGUGUCCCCGAUCCAGCCACACGAGUCGACACUCGACACAGGCCCGCGAUCCCCUCCCCCUCUUCCUUCUCCGGAUUCGCGGCGAUCUAGCCGGCGGCGGGCGGCGCAGCGAUGGCGGGGCAAAACCAGCGGCUCAACGUCGUGCCGACGGUGACGAUGCUCGGCGUCAUGAAGGCGCGGCUCGUCGGCGCCACCCGCGGUCACGCGCUGUUGAAGAAGAAGUCCGACGCGCUCACGGUCCAGUUCCGCGCCAUCCUCAAGAAGAUCGUCGCCGCCAAGGAGUCCAUGGGCGAGACGAUGCGCGCCUCCUCCUUCUCCCUCGCCGAGGCCAAGUACGUCGCCGGCGACGGCGUCCGUCACGUCGUCCUCCAGUCCAUCCGCGCCGCCUCCGUCCGCGUUCGAUCUCACCAGGAGAAUGUCGCCGGGGUCAAGCUCCCGAAGUUCACUCACUUCGUCGACCCCGCCGCGGCAUCCGGGGGGCCCUCCAACGCGUCUCCGAGCCUUACGGGCCUCGCCCGCGGCGGGCAGCAGGUCGCCGCCUGCCGCGCCGCGCACGUCAAGGCCAUCGAGGUGCUCGUCGAGCUCGCCUCGCUCCAGACCUCCUUCCUCACGCUCGACGAGGCCAUCAAGACCACCAACCGCCGCGUCAACGCGCUCGAGAAUGUCGUGAAGCCCAGGAUCGAGAACACCAUCAGCUACAUCAAGGGGGAGCUCGACGAACUCGAGCGCGAGGACUUUUUCAGGCUCAAGAAGAUCCAGGGCUACAAGAAGAGGGAGAUCGAGCGCCAGAUGGCCAACGCCAGGCUUUUCGCAGAGGAACAGCUCGCCGAGGAUCUCGCGCUCAAGAGGGGCAUCUCCGUGGGGGCUGCGGCAAAUCUGCUGGCUGCUGGAGGGGAGAAGGACGACGACAUCAUCUUUUGAUCGCCUCUUUCCAUGCUCAUCCAAUCAUUCAAUCGCCCUGGAAACAAUAAGUUGAUGCUGGAGCUCCAGAACUGUACCUGUUUAUAGAGUGAUGGCGGGUUUUUUUUUCAGUGAGUAGUCUGGUGCCUGGUCAUCCAAGACCGAUGAAUAAUCUGUACUUGUUGGGGACUAAAGAUUGCCAAUGAACUUUAGCACGCAGUGGUUAUGUGCAGCUGGUGUAGUAAAUUCAAUUGUGCUCUGUUUUCCCUGUUUGUGUUCAUUAUAGUUGUAUUUAUAUUUAUUUGCGGGGUGUGCGCGGAUUGCUGUACUACACCUACUCUGAAGUCGCG